Molecule: ribosomal RNA, 274 nt
Filed under: uncultured bacterium
Lineage: Bacteria
Description: partial 16S ribosomal RNA
Rfam family: Bacterial small subunit ribosomal RNA
Source: RNAcentral
AUACAGGGGUUGCGAGCGUUAAUCGGAUUUAUUGGGCGUAAAGGGCGCGUAGGCGGCUUGGUAAGUCAGAUGUGAAAGCCCGGGGCUCAACCCCGGAAGUGCAUUUGAAACUAUCAGGCUUGAGUAUGGGAGAGGGAAGUGGAAUUCCUGGUGUAGAGGUGAAAUUCGUAGAUAUCAGGAGGAACACCGGUGGCGAAGGCGACUUCCUGGACCAAUACUGACGCUGAAGCGCGAAGGCGUGGGGAGCAAACAGGAUUAGAAACCCCAGUAGUCC